Molecule: ribosomal RNA, 500 nt
Filed under: uncultured bacterium
Lineage: Bacteria
Description: partial 16S ribosomal RNA
Rfam family: Bacterial small subunit ribosomal RNA
Source: RNAcentral
AUUGAACGCUGGCGGAAUGCUUUACACAUGCAAGUCGAACGGCAGCACGGACUUCGGUCUGGUGGCGAGUGGCGAACGGGUGAGUAAUGUAUCGGAACGUGCCCAGUCGUGGGGGAUAACGUAGUGAAAAUUACGCUAAUCCCGCAUACGAUCUAUGGAUGAAAGCGGGGUAUCGCAAGACCUCGCGCGAUUGGAGCGGCCGAUAUCAGAUUAGGUAGUUGGUGGGGUAAAGGCCCACCAAGCCAACGAUCUGUAGCUGGUCUGAGAGGACGACCAGCCACACUGGAACUGAGACACGGUCCAGACUCCUACGGGAGGCAGCAGUGGGGAAUUUUGGACAAUGGGCGAAAGCCUGAUCCAGCCAUUCCGCGUGCAGGAUGAAGGCCCUCGGGUUGUAAACUGCUUUUGUACAGAACGAAAAGGUUUCUACUAAUACUAGGAGCUCAUGACGGUACUGUAAGAAUAAGCACCGGCUAACUACGUGCCAGCCGCCGCAGUAA